This 431-nucleotide ribosomal RNA is filed under the name Globigerina bulloides. RNAcentral describes it as "bacterial SSU rRNA". It matches the Rfam family "Eukaryotic small subunit ribosomal RNA", at positions 1190 to 1434 of the family's 1831-position model. The record is from RNAcentral. Lineage: Eukaryota; Foraminifera; Rotaliida; Globigerinidae.
GUAUGUGGUUAAUUUGACUCAACGCGGAAAAGCUUAUCUGGUCCGGACGCAGUGAGGAUUGACAGACAGUUUCAGGAGUGGUUCUUGGUAAACAAUUGAGAGAGUUGAAGUUCUUUCAUGAUCUUGUGAGAGGUGGUGCAUGGCCGUUCUUAGUUCGUGUAGUGAUAUGUCUGCCUAAUCGCGUCACGAUAACCUAUUGGUCGACAACCCAAUUAUCACAACUGCAGCAUAACUCCCCUUGGGUGGGCGAGGCUCUGUGUAGGAUAGACCUCUGAACAGUACGCAACGAACGCGAUCGUAAUCCCUUGUUGAGUGGCCAUCCUGUAAGCUGCUGGAUUAGAACCCAGUGGUAUUAUCUCAGCCACAGAUUUUCUGGUUGUAAUGGGCCAUUUUUGAAACUCGGGGGAACAUCUGUGACUUUCUUUCUUAAC